Molecule: long non-coding RNA, 2087 nt
Organism: Alexandromys fortis (reed vole)
Lineage: Eukaryota; Metazoa; Chordata; Mammalia; Rodentia; Cricetidae
Exons: 4
Source: RefSeq, a predicted model, not a curated record
CUCACUCUUCCUCGGUCCCACCCUCCCGUGCGUGCACGCCGGAGACCCACAGGCCUCCGUUGCUGUUCCUCCUGCCUCCUGUCUGUAGCUCCCUUCCUGCUCCUCUCCCAGGAUCCUUAAAACCAAACUCGGCGAUCAAGGUGCUGUGAAGGUUUUGGAAGGAAGGCAACAGCACAGCCCAAGUAUUCCUAAACCAAAAUAAACCCGAAGUCUGCAGGCACACUGGACUGCCUGAGCAUUGUUGACUUGGAGACGUUGAUUCAUUUGUUCCUGGUCUGUAUCAUUAAACGAAAAUUGUGUGUCGGGCGUCAGGAACCUGAUGUGAUGUUGCCUUGUCCAUCGUCCCUCCCGGUGCAUUUUAUCUCUGCACAUGCCUCUUCUCACUUGGAUAGACUCUGACGUGCCACUCCGCUGUCAGCAGGAGGUACCUGUCAAGUUCGCCGCUGCAGGCGCAUCUAAUGUGAUUGUGGACUUAGAAAGAACCAGAAAGCAUGUGCCCACAGUCUGCCUGUGUGAGACCGGAGCCAUUAGGACACUCCUUGGAAGUUAUCCCCCCAGCUAGCACCUCUUUGCUGUUUACACAGAGCUCCCAGGGAGCAGCCUCAGCAACCCCAAAAUGCAGAUGGAAAUUCUCUACAGGUGCUUUCAACAUGCUGACUUGUCCGUGUACACCUUUGGUAGGAAAGAGACUGGCUCCAUCACAUUCUUCUACAUCUGUCUUUCAAGUCAGCUUUGCACUGAUAAAGCUCAUAGUCAAUCCCAGAAUCAGAUAACACCAGCUAUCGAAGCCCAACAUGGUUCUGUCAUUAUUCUCCACCCAAGGAUGGGGACAUAUAGGAUCUCAGUUGGCCUUGGGAUCUGGAAAGACUCUUCUGGCCCUUUUCUUUCAUUUCCUCACUGUCUUCUCUCAAAGUCAUAAUAAGUUCUAAUUAAUCGGCCUUUUCCCUGAAAGGUGCACGUUGCUAAUCCUUAUUAAUCUCCAUUGAUUUCAGGAAGAAUUUCGCUAUCGUUUAAUAGUCUUUUUAAAAUGUUGAUAAGUCAACCUCUGAACUAGGUACUACUCAAUAUAGAAAGAAGCCAUAGUCCUUGGUCAUCACUGCAGGGAAUCCGUUUCUUUACUCUGUGAAUGUUAAAUAUAUGCCUGCUAGGACAGAAUGCUGUGUUAAAUCCAAAAGACCCAGUGAGGAAGAGUGUUCAGGGCUUAGGAAGCAAAUGCUUCAAAAAGCUAAACACCCAGGGAACUCCCUGAAAAAUCAUACCAUAUAGCCCAUAGCAAUUGGGAGAUUAGAGGUGUAAACCAGGUACACAUACUAGAUAAUGGAAUUAAUCUAACUUGGUGAGAAAAAGAAGACCCUGUGUGGAUUCACAGACAAGGUAACACAUGCAUGAAAAAUUGGAGUACUGCUGUCUACAUCCUGUGCGUUACUGUUCGACCCUGAGCAACUUUGAACUCUCUGACUUGCUUCCUCAACAGGAGAACAAUUAAUAAUUGAAUCAGAGGACAUUUUAGUAUCCAAAGAAAACAUACAUUCAAAGAAAUAAUUUUACAUUAAUGUUCACUAUAUGAAUUUAACCUAGAAGAGGGGAAAUUGCAAAGAGGGCUUUAAAAUAAGGAAGUUAUUAAUAUAGAGUGCAGUCAUCUACCUACAACUCAUCAGAGGCAAACUCCCUGGAUGUUAAUUGUCCUGCCUGGGAAACUCAGGAAGGAGUCUAUUUUCAUUCUAUGAACAAGAUGAAUAUGACAUAGGAUAAUGAAAGACAAGAAAAGGGAAGGGAAAGAAGAAAACAGGAUGGAGAAAUUGCAAAGAGACAUGAAGGAACCACACAGGAAACACACACAUCCACAGUCUCACUGUUUAUUUCUAAUGCCUGUGUUGCUGCAUUAAGAGUUGUUAAGAAAAUUCUAUAAUGAUUCAAAAGAGUCAUACUGUCACUUAUUCACCUUACUUUUGCUGAUUUAUUCUGUUAUUUUUCCUGUAUCUGUAGAAAUAUCCUUGUUCAAGUAUUCUACCCCCUCUCCAUUCUAUGAAGAGUACAUAAUCUAAGAGAGGCAGGGAUCUAAAUAAAGUUAUUAAAUCAUUAAAGUU